CGGUAACACGGGAUGGAGGUCCGCACCAAUAAGCGUUGAAAAGCUUCUGGAUGAGCCGAGUGUAGGAGUGAAAGGCCAAUCAAACUUGGAGAUAGCUCGUACUCCCCGAAAGGCAUUUAGGUGCCGCGUCGGAUGGUCACCGUGAGAGGUAGAGCGACCGAUAGGACAAGAGGGCUUCACCGCCUAUCGAGUCCUGACGAACUCCGAAUGCUCACGGUCUGCAGUCCGGCAGUAAGGGGGCGGGUGCUAAGGUCCGUCCCCGAGAGGAGAAGAAUCCAGACCGCCGUCUAAGGUCCCGGAGUUCUGCCUGAGUUAGUCUAACGAAGUCUGGUCCCUAUGACAGCUAGGAUGUUGGCUUGGAAGCAGCCAUUCAUUCAAAGAGUGCGUAACAGCUCACUAGUCGAGGGUCCGGGCAUGGAUAAUAAUCGGGUAUAAGGCAGACACCGAAGGCGCGGGAUAGCAAUUAUAAAAGUAUCGGUAGGGGAGCAUACUCACAGCGUCGAAUGGUGUACGUAAGUUAUCCUGGAGCGGUGAGUAAAGCAAAUGUAGGAAUAAGUAACGAUAAGGAGGGUUAGAUUCCCUCCCGCUGUAAGACCAAGGUUUCCCGGGCAAUGCCAAUCAGCCCGGGGUCAGUCGGGUCCUAAGUCUAAGCCGAACGGCGAUGGCGAUGGCAGAGACGGUUAAUAUUCCGUCACUGCCGCAUGGGGCGACGUGGAGACGGAGCAGUGAAACCACCGCGGGGCGACGGAAGUCCCCGUUGAAGAGUGUAGGUGUUGAGGAUGGCAGGCAAAUCCACCAUCCGAGCUGAACUUGACAGUACGGAGUCCUCCUCGGAGGAAUCUGAUAGUGUGGGUAAUCAUACUCCCGAGAAAAUCCGCUAAGCUUAACCCAUGCGGCACCCGUACCGCAAACGGACACACGUGGUCGGGUAGAACAUACUAAGGCGUUGAGAGAUUCAUGGUUAAGGAACUAGGCAAAUUGACCCUGUAACUUCGGGAUAAAGGGUCCUCGUGAUGAGCGAGGCGCAGAGAAUAGGUCCAGGCAACUGUUUAACAAAAACACAGGGCUGUGCAAACUCGAAAGAUGACGUAUACAGCCUGACACCUGCCCGGUGCCGGAAGGUUAAGAGGAGAUGUCAC
Molecule: ribosomal RNA, 1139 nt
Filed under: Segatella copri
Lineage: Bacteria; Pseudomonadati; Bacteroidota; Bacteroidia; Bacteroidales; Prevotellaceae
Description: partial 23S ribosomal RNA
Rfam family: Bacterial large subunit ribosomal RNA
Source: RNAcentral